RNAcentral lists this non-coding RNA (99 nucleotides) under Palpitomonas bilix. The record is from RNAcentral.
AACGGCUGAGAUCGCACUGUGAAACAAACGAGAAAAAAAGGGAAAUGGAUGUCAAUUUUCAAGUUCUUAUUUUAAUUUCUGUGGAUGGAAACAAAAAAU